RNAcentral lists this ribosomal RNA (408 nucleotides) under Pseudomonas sp. PCRs4. RNAcentral's name for it is "bacterial SSU rRNA". It matches the Rfam family "Bacterial small subunit ribosomal RNA", at positions 114 to 518 of the family's 1533-position model. Lineage: Bacteria; Pseudomonadati; Pseudomonadota; Gammaproteobacteria; Pseudomonadales; Pseudomonadaceae. The record is from RNAcentral.
UGCCUAGGAAUCUGCCUGGUAGUGGGGGACAACGUUUCGAAAGGAACGCUAAUACCGCAUACGUCCUACGGGAGAAAGCAGGGGACCUUCGGGCCUUGCGCUAUCAGAUGAGCCUAGGUCGGAUUAGCUAGUUGGUGAGGUAAUGGCUCACCAAGGCGACGAUCCGUAACUGGUCUGAGAGGAUGAUCAGUCACACUGGAACUGAGACACGGUCCAGACUCCUACGGGAGGCAGCAGUGGGGAAUAUUGGACAAUGGGCGAAAGCCUGAUCCAGCCAUGCCGCGUGUGUGAAGAAGGUCUUCGGAUUGUAAAGCACUUUAAGUUGGGAGGAAGGGUUGUAAAUUAAUACUCUGCAAUUUUGACGUUACCGACAGAAUAAGCACCGGCUAACUCUGUGCCAGCAGCCGC